Molecule: ribosomal RNA, 460 nt
Filed under: uncultured bacterium
Lineage: Bacteria
Description: partial 16S ribosomal RNA
Rfam family: Bacterial small subunit ribosomal RNA
Source: RNAcentral
CCUACGGGAGGCAGCAGUGAGGAAUAUUGGUCAAUGGACGCAAGUCUGAACCAGCCAUGCCGCGUGCAGGAAGACGGCUCCAUGAGUUGUAAACUGCUUUUGUACGAGGGUAAACGCAGAUACGCGUAUCUGUCUGAAAGUAUCGUACGAAUAAGGAUCGGCUAACUCCGUGCCAGCAGCCGCGGUAAUACGGAGGAUUCAAGCGUUAUCCGGAUUUAAUGGGUUUAAAGGGUGCGUAGGCGGUCGGAUAAGUUAGAGGUGAAAUCCCGAGGCUCAACUUCGGAAUUGCCUCUGAUACUGUUCGGCUAGAGAGUAGUUGCGGUAGGCGGAAUGUAUGGUGUAGCGGUGAAAUGCUUAGAGAUCAUACAGAACACCGAUUGCGAAGGCAGCUUACCAAGCUACUUCUGACGUUGAGGCACGAAAGCGUGGGGAGCAAACAGGAUUAGAUACCCUGGUAGUC